RNAcentral lists this unclassified non-coding RNA (228 nucleotides) under Hevea brasiliensis (rubber tree). The record is from RNAcentral. Lineage: Eukaryota; Viridiplantae; Streptophyta; Magnoliopsida; Malpighiales; Euphorbiaceae.
AUUGACGAUAGAUGGAUUCAAGUGAAUGGCUGCUACAAACUAUGAUGAGAAGAAUCAGAUCAACUUCUUUUAGGGCAUGUGCUUAUCCCCUUCAAUAGACAUUAUUUUUCUUUACCCUAUCUUAGAAGCGGACACAAGUUUUUGUCAUUAAAGUUCUUGGAUUCUCAUGUGUAUUUUUAUAUUGACAAAUAUCUUGCAAUAUUAUUGCUUAAAUCUCAGAGCAGUUGU